AAGUUUAGGUUAGAUAAAACCAGACGCCUUCAAAGCGCCAAACAGGGAGCUUACCCUAACUUUUG
Molecule: transfer RNA, 65 nt
Filed under: Elasmodactylus tuberculosus (warty thick-toed gecko)
Lineage: Eukaryota; Metazoa; Chordata; Lepidosauria; Squamata; Gekkonidae
Description: tRNA-Trp
Source: RNAcentral